AACGCACCUUGCGCUCCUUGGUAUUCCGAGGAGCAUGCUUGUUUGAGUGUCAUGGUCUUCUCAACCCUUCUGUCUUUUUCAUUAAAGGCAGCUGGGCUUGGACUUGGAGGUCUUGCAGGCGUCCGAAUUUUUAAUUCGGAAGUCAGCUCCUCUGAAAUGCAUUAGCUUGAAUAGAACCAAGCAUGAUUCAGCGUGAUAAUUGUCUACGUUGCUUCAUCUCGGUGAAUUUAAUGUUCAAGCUUCUAACCGUCCCUUGGGACAAUCUCUGAACAUCUGACCUCAAAUCAAGUAGGACUACCCGCUGAACUUAA
RNAcentral lists this unclassified non-coding RNA (311 nucleotides) under uncultured Steccherinum. RNAcentral describes it as "sequence contains ITS2". The stretch from base 1 to 52 matches the Rfam family "5.8S ribosomal RNA", at positions 103 to 154 of the family's 154-position model. Lineage: Eukaryota; Fungi; Basidiomycota; Agaricomycetes; Polyporales; Steccherinaceae. The record is from RNAcentral.